RNAcentral lists this ribosomal RNA (303 nucleotides) under uncultured bacterium. Its description in RNAcentral is "partial 16S ribosomal RNA". It matches the Rfam family "Bacterial small subunit ribosomal RNA", at positions 507 to 807 of the family's 1533-position model. The record is from RNAcentral.
AGCAGUCGCCGCGGUAAUACGUAGGGUGCAAGCGUUAAUCGGAAUUACUGGGCGUAAAGCGUGCGCAGGCGGUUAUAUAAGACAGAUGUGAAAUCCCCGGGCUCAACCUGGGAACUGCAUUUGUGACUGUAUAGCUAGAGUACGGCAGAGGGGGAUGGAAUUCCGCGUGUAGCAGUGAAAUGCGUAGAUAUGCGGAGGAACACCGAUGGCGAAGGCAAUCCCCUGGGCCUGUACUGACGCUCAUGCACGAAAGCGUGGGGAGCAAACAGGAUUAGAUACCCCGGUAGUCCCUGUCUCUUAUAC